Molecule: non-coding RNA, 23 nt
Filed under: Arabidopsis thaliana (thale cress)
Lineage: Eukaryota; Viridiplantae; Streptophyta; Magnoliopsida; Brassicales; Brassicaceae
Source: RNAcentral
UGGAUACCACGGGUGUAUUCCUA